This 322-nucleotide small RNA is filed under the name Pan troglodytes (chimpanzee). RNAcentral's name for it is "processed transcript". The record is from RNAcentral. Lineage: Eukaryota; Metazoa; Chordata; Mammalia; Primates; Hominidae.
CAGCAACUUUCAAAUGGGUCUCUGCUGAUACAAAACAUACUUCAUUCCAGACACCACAAGCCAGAUGAGGGACUUUACCAAUGUGAGGCAUCUUUAGGAGAUUCUGGCUCAAUUAUUAGUCGGACAGCAAAAGUUGCAGUAGCAGGUCCUACUUAGUCUAGUCUCAUCUUGGAAGACUGAUCAGAAUAACUCAUUUUCAUCAAUAACAGGACAAUUGGGCAGAAUCACCACUCCUUCAUGCACUCUCCUAGUGAGGGUUUAAGAAAGUUGAAAUCUGAAAGAUGUGAUUUUGUCAGGUGGUGCUAUAAAGAAUUACAUCUCA